Molecule: small nuclear RNA, 18 nt
Filed under: Arabidopsis thaliana (thale cress)
Lineage: Eukaryota; Viridiplantae; Streptophyta; Magnoliopsida; Brassicales; Brassicaceae
Description: snRNA_14891
Source: RNAcentral
AUCCUAUAUAAUUGUUUA